CAGAACUACUGUCACACACAGAUGCAACUCUAGAGGAGUGGUCGAGGGUUCUUGACCAGCUAAAUCAAGAUGAAGAACCCUGGUCAGGAGUAUUGGAAGAGAUAAAAAAUUAUUUGCCAUUGUAUUUGAGGCGAUGUCUCUUUUAUUUUGGAUUAUUCCCGGCAGGCUAUAAGAUCCCUGCAAGAAGAUUGAUUGCCUUGUGGGUUGCUGAGGGUUUGGGGCAUCAACAGGGUGAUGCAAAGUCCCCUGAAUACGUUGCAGAGACAUGCUUGAGAGAGUUAAUUAACUAUACUAUUGUUCAGGUGACAGAAAGCAAACUCAAUGGAAAGGUUAAGACGUGCUGCCUACCAGAGGCUCUGCAAGUACACUGGUUUAAAAAAGCCAAGGAAGCUAAAUUUCUUCAAGGUCACUCCAACAUCUCUGACACUGACAUUGGUGUAAUACGCCGUCUUGCUGACCAUCUUCAGCAGAAUGAUGCCGUCUUUGAUGAUAUUCAUCAUUUCAACAAUACUUCCUCAUUCUCUCGCUACAGAGAUGUGGUUUCCUUUAUAUCCUUUGAUACUCGAGAAGGAAGCAAAC
Molecule: unclassified non-coding RNA, 579 nt
Filed under: Hevea brasiliensis (rubber tree)
Lineage: Eukaryota; Viridiplantae; Streptophyta; Magnoliopsida; Malpighiales; Euphorbiaceae
Source: RNAcentral